GCUAAUAUAGUCUAAUUAGGAUAACAGUUUGUCUAACUGUGGGUGGCUUUGCCUAUUGGUG
This 61-nucleotide transfer RNA is filed under the name Caryophyllaeus brachycollis. RNAcentral describes it as "tRNA-Asp". The record is from RNAcentral. Lineage: Eukaryota; Metazoa; Platyhelminthes; Cestoda; Caryophyllidea; Caryophyllaeidae.